RNAcentral lists this ribosomal RNA (253 nucleotides) under uncultured bacterium. RNAcentral describes it as "partial 16S ribosomal RNA". It matches the Rfam family "Bacterial small subunit ribosomal RNA", at positions 524 to 776 of the family's 1533-position model. The record is from RNAcentral.
UACGAAGGGGGCUAGCGUUGCUCGGAAUGACUGGGCGUAAAGGGCGCGUAGGCGGAUGGCACAGUCAGAUGUGAAAUUCCCGGGCUUAACCUGGGGGCUGCAUUUGAUACGUGUUGUCUUGAGUUCGGAAGAGGGUCGUGGAAUUCCCAGUGUAGAGGUGAAAUUCGUAGAUAUUGGGAAGAACACCGGUGGCGAAGGCGGCGACCUGGUUCAUUACUGACGCUGAGGCGCGAAAGCGUGGGGAGCAAACAGG